Molecule: signal recognition particle RNA, 97 nt
Filed under: Hyphomicrobiaceae bacterium
Lineage: Bacteria; Pseudomonadati; Pseudomonadota; Alphaproteobacteria; Hyphomicrobiales; Hyphomicrobiaceae
Description: signal recognition particle sRNA small type
Rfam family: Bacterial small signal recognition particle RNA
About the family: The signal recognition particle (SRP) is a universally conserved ribonucleoprotein involved in the co-translational targeting of proteins to membranes. Archaeal SRP consists of a 7S RNA and homologues of the eukaryotic SRP19 and SRP54 proteins.
Source: RNAcentral
AGGAGGCUGGCACGGACAUUUCUCUUGUGAACCGGGUCAGAUCUGGAAAGAAGCAGCCCUAGCAAGUUCGGUUUGGGUCGUUGCUCAGUCUCCGACA